Molecule: transfer RNA, 77 nt
Filed under: Rhodoferax sp.
Lineage: Bacteria; Pseudomonadati; Pseudomonadota; Betaproteobacteria; Burkholderiales; Comamonadaceae
Also listed under: 22 other names
Description: tRNA-Asp
Rfam family: tRNA
About the family: Transfer RNA (tRNA) molecules are approximately 80 nucleotides in length. Their secondary structure includes four short double-helical elements and three loops (D, anti-codon, and T loops).
Source: RNAcentral
GGAGUGGUAGUUCAGUUGGUUAGAAUGCCGGCCUGUCACGCCGGAGGUCGCGGGUUCGAGUCCCGUCCGCUCCGCCA